GACAGAGGGUGCAAACGUUGUUCGGAAUUACUGGGCGUAAAGCGCGUGUAGGCUGCUCAGAAAGUUAGAUGUGAAAGCCCUGGGCUUAACCUAGGAAGUGCAUUCAAAACUACUGAGCUGGAGUCCUGGAGAGGAAGGCGGAAUUCUCGGUGUAGAGGUGAAAUGCGUAGAUAUCGAGAGGAACACCUGCGGCGAAGGCGGGUUGCUGGGCUGACACUGACGCUGAGGCGCGAAAGCUAGGGGAGCGAACGGG
Molecule: ribosomal RNA, 253 nt
Filed under: uncultured bacterium
Lineage: Bacteria
Description: partial 16S ribosomal RNA
Rfam family: Bacterial small subunit ribosomal RNA
Source: RNAcentral